Molecule: long non-coding RNA, 724 nt
Filed under: Marmota monax (woodchuck)
Lineage: Eukaryota; Metazoa; Chordata; Mammalia; Rodentia; Sciuridae
Source: RNAcentral
CGAGGGUUGGACCUCCUCUUCAAGAGAGAAGAGGACCUUUGUGCUGCAUUGAGGGAAAAAUGUUGUUUUUAUGCCGACAAUACUGGAGUUGUAAAAAAAUCUAUGAGUAAAUUAAAAAGAUGCCUUGAAAAGCGUCAGUGAGAGAGAGAGGCCCAAAAAGGGUGGUAUGAGUCUUGGUUCACACAGUCCCCCUGGUUAACUACGCUUUUAUCAGCCCUGGCCGGUCCUUUAAUAACCCUUAUAUUGUUGCUAACUCUAGGACCCUAUUUGCUCAACCGUGUAGUUUCCUUUCUCCAAGCCCAAAUUGGACAAGUCAAACUUAUUGUAAUCAGACAACAAUAUACCCCACUAGCAGACAUAAAAUGUGACACCUCCCCCAAUGAUCACUUUUAUGAUUAAAAGCAGCCAGAAGAAGAAGUGGGGAAUGAAAGGUUAAUAAAAUAGGUACUUGUCACUCUGUUUUCUGUAUGCUUAACAAAACACUGUUGAAAUCCUGAGAACUGUUUGCUAAUCUUGUUCCCAGAAUGUGCUGUCCCCAACUGACAAACUGCAGAAUGCACUCCCUCACUCGGUUGCAGGCAAACCGCCCACUUGCCCUGACCUGUCAAUGAACUUCCCUCCCUGCCCUCUCCAAGAAAAUUAUAUAAGCUCUGCUUAAGCUGUUCUCAGGGCUCUCUCUCUUUGCUCUAUUCAAGUGAGCUCUGAGCCCCAGAAUGCUGGACCC